Molecule: RNA transcript, 4586 nt
Organism: Oncorhynchus masou masou (cherry salmon)
Lineage: Eukaryota; Metazoa; Chordata; Actinopteri; Salmoniformes; Salmonidae
Gene name: coiled-coil and C2 domain-containing protein 1A-like
Exons: 6
Source: RefSeq, a predicted model, not a curated record
UGGAUGGUCGUAAGGCUACGGGGGGUAAGCUGGAGGUGAGGGUGAAGAUUCGGGAGCCGCUGGGAGGAGCACAGCUUCAGAUCACCACAGAGAAAUGGCUGGUCCUCGACCCUGAACCAAUCACCACCCCCGACAGAGAGAGAGAACAACAGGGCCCCUCUCCUCGCUCCAAACCAAAGAGUGACAAUGGGAGGAACAAGCAGUCUAACCAGUCCAGCCACUCUCCUCCCCAGUAUAAACUCCACAGUUUCAGUCUAAUGCACUACGAUAAGGAGAGACUGGAGAGACAGAUUGGUGAUUACAGGAAGAGUAGGCGGGAUCCUCCGUCUGACCUGGUACAGCAACACAAGGAGGUCACACACAGGCUGCAGUGGCAGAAAGCCCAGCUAGAGAGAGGCUCCCCUACUCUACUGUUAGAGUAUGAGAAUAUUUUGCAGCGUUUUGCCCAGGGACUUGCUGAGUCAGUGAAGAGGUUUUCCAGCCAAGGCAACAGGGAUGCUGCUAACGACGCUCUCGGACGGCUGAAGAUGGUGGGGACUGAGUUGGAAUCUCUGAAGAGGAAACGCCUGGUCUGAGAAGAGGAGGACAGAGGGAGAGUUGGCUGGAGUACUGUUAUGUUACUCACACACACACAGCCAAUCACCUUCGACAUCUUCCUGCCACUCCUCUCUGCCUCCUCCACUAAUGCUCUUCCUUUUACUCUGUUCUUUACUUUUGUAUUGUCAUUCAUUCAAUCAGUUAGGAAGAAGAACCCGUUUGACUAAAACAGGCCUGCCUCCCAAAUGGCACCCUAUUCCCUAUAUAGUGCACUACUUUAGACCAGGGCCCAUAGGGACUGAUAUAGGGAAUAGGGCACCAUCGAGAUACACGGCAGAAUGGGAUCCUGUGAGAUUGAUAGUGACAUGAAGACAGAAUGCAGGGCAGGACAGAGAAUGUCUUAUUUGCACUUGAAAACAAAAACACUACCGAUUAUUACCAAAACCCUGCCGCCUUCACUAUAGUCUUUCAAGUCCUUCAAUGGCUCUCUCUCUUUCUCUCUGUUCAGAGUGGUGUGUGUAACUCCUGGUCUCCGCAUUGUGUGUGUGCCUGCGACGUUAAUGAGCUUAAUCUAAUCUGUCUGCUCCACUAUUCCCAGAUUACUGUAAUAUGACCCGUUUGGUGCCGUGUGAUAUGGGAACGACACGGAAACGGGAACUAUAUCCCAUAAUGAGGGAUUAGCUAACACUGGUGUCGCCAUGGAGACGUCUCAUUCAGGGAAGUGAGGAGAGGAGGUACCCCAGGGGUUAAAUUGAAGAGGACAGGAUGAGAAUUGGUGUAGAACAGACCAGUAGCUGUAAAACCCACUGGAUUAUCUUUGAAUUGGGAUAGAGGUUCUCUAUUCAUUGUAAUGCUAUGGUACGGAGUCUGGGAGCCCGUUUAAAAGGACCCCUCUUAUAGGACCAUAUUUAGCCUAUUGUGAUGUCAUCAAUUAGGCUUGCGUCAUGUCCCUAUGACGUCAUCUGUUAGAAUGUUGAAAGGACUGCGUCAUCACCGCAUUGUGAUGUCAUCAGUUAGAAGGUGUGUUCCUCUGUUCAGACGUUGCUGACGCCAGAUCUUACAUCGCCUGGAUAGGUGUUUUACAUAUCAGCUAAACACAUCACAUGUUAAAGCAAUCUGGUGCACCGUUGAUGACGUGGCGUGCAACCAGUGGUUGAUGCAUUUGACAUCUGAGCAGAGAGACACAACCAGAAUGUUUAACAAAGGAUCGCUUCAUCUGGUUGUGAUGUCAUCAGUUGGAAUGUUCUACAAAGGGCUACAUCCAAUUAUGAUGUCAGAAUCCCAGAAUAAAGCACGAUGAGUAAACUGUCACUAUGACCUGAGUCAGAACCUGAAGCAGAUACAGUAUGUGACUUCAUCCGUGUCCAAGCUGGCCUGAUGUCGGCCCCAAAUCCUACAGGGAUCCUCUAAGAAUGAGAAGAAGAGGCUUCAGUGCACUUCCUGUUCCUCGUUCCGAAUGUCAUGGGCAGGAAAUGCGCGCUUUACUUACUGACUUCCAGACAGGCAGAGAGAGGGACAGGCAGACGGGCAGAGAGAGAGACGGGCAGAGAGAGGGACAGGCAGACGGGCAGAGAGAGGGACAGGCAGACGGGCAGAGAGAGGGACAGGCAGACGGGCAGAGAGAGGGACAGGCAGACUGGCAGAGAGAGGGACAGGCAGACUGGCAGAGAGAGGGACAGGCAGACGGGCAGAGAGAGGGACAGACGGGCAGACUGGCAGAGAGAGGGACAGGCAGACGGGAGACACAGGCAGAGCUUGUCAGAGGGGACACUGUUUAGUCAGUGUGGUUUGGCCGUGGUGGGCCGGGGACCACAGCUGCCUAUAGUGUUGAGGUCAGACCCUUUAUUCAGAUUUUGGGUAGGGAAAGGAGGUCUCAUCCUCUACCCCUCUAUAUACCCAGACACCCUGAGGUCUCCUCCUGUACCCCUCUAUAGACCCAGACACCCUGAGGUGUCCUCCUCUACCCCUCUAUAUACCCAGACACCCUGAGGUCUCCUCCUCUACCCCUCUAUAGACCCAGACACCCUGAGGUCUCCUCCUGUACCCCUCUAUAGACCCAGACACCCUGAGGUCUCCUCCUGUACCCCUCUAUAUACCCAGACACCCUGAGGUCUCCUCCUCUACCCCUCUAUAUACCCAGACACCCUGAGGUCUCCUCCUGUACCCCUCUAUAUACCCAGACACCCUGAGGUCUCCUCCUGUACCCCUCUAUAGACCCAGACACCCUGAGGUCUCCUCCUCUACCCCUCUAUUAACCCAGACACCCUGAGGUCUCCUCCUGUACCCCUCUAUAUACCCAGACACCCUGAGGUCUCCUCCUGUACCCCUCUAUAUACCCAGACACCCUGAGGUCUCCUCCUGUACCCCUCUAUAGACCCAGACACCCUGAGGUCUCCUCCUCUACCCCUCUAUUAACCCAGACACCCUGAGGUCUCCUCCUGUACCCCUCUAUAUACCCAGACACCCUGAGGUCUCCUCCUGUACCCCUCUAUAUACCCAGAUACCCUGAGGUCUCCUCCUCUACCCCUCUAUAGACCCAGACACCCUGAGGUCUCCUCCUGUACCCCUCUAUAUACCCAGACACCCUGAGGUCUCCUCCUGUACCCCUCUAUAUACCCAGACACCCUGAGGUCUCCUCCUGUACCCCUCUAUAUACCCAGAUACCCUGAGGUCUCCUCCUCUACCCCUCUAUAGACCCAGACACCCUGAGGUCUCCUCCUGUACCCCUCUAUAUACCCAGACACCCUGAGGUCUCCUCCUCUACCCCUCUAUAUACCCAGACACCCUGAGGUCUCCUCCUCUACCCCUCUAUAUACCCAGACACCCUGAGGUCUCCUCCUGUACCCCUCUAUAGACCCAGACACCCUGAGGUCUCCUCCUCUACCCCUCUAUAAACCCAGACACCCUGAGGUCUCCUCCUCUACCCCUCUAUAGACCCAGACACCCUGAGGUCUCCUCCUCUACCCCUCUAUAGACCCAGACACCCUGAGGUCUCCUCCUCUACCCCUCUAUAGACCCAGACACCCUGAGGUCUCCUCCUCUACCCCUCUAUAGACCCAGACACCCUGAGGUCUCCUCCUCUACCCCUCUAUAUACCCAGACACCCUGAGGUCUCCUCCUCUACCCUUCUAUAUACCCAGACACCCUGAGGUCUCCUCCUCUACCCUUCUAUAUACCCAAACACCCUGAGGUCUCCUCCUGUACCCCUCUAUAUACCCAGACACCCUGAGGUCUCCUCCUGUACCCCUCUAUAUACCCAGACACCCUGAGGUCUCCUCCUCUACCCUUCUAUAUACCCAGACACCCUGAGGUCUCCUCCUGUACCCCCUAUCGGUCUCUCUCCUCUCUCUCUCUCUACACUACAACAGUAAUUUAGUAGCCUACUGUAGUGGGAUCUGUCUCUGUAUCCACAGCAUCUGAGUUGGAGUGCUGAUCCAGGAUCAGGUUCCAACCUGUCCAUAUAAUCUGAUUCAUUAUGAGCUAAAAGGCAAAACUGAUCCUACAUUAUGAAUCACUCCAUACUAGAUACUCUGAGAAGCUUUGAGGAUAGAGGCCGAGUCCCCCAGUCCUGGUGGCUAAACUGAUCCUAGAUCAGCACUGCUGCUCUGAGAAGCUUUGUAGAAACAGGCCCAGUCCCCCAGUCCUGGUGGCUAAACUGAUCCUAGAUCAGCACUGCCGCUCUGAGAAGCUUUGUGGAUACAGGCCCAGUCCUGGUGGCUAAACUGAUCCUAGAUCAGCACUGCUGCUCUGAGAAGCUUUGUGGAAACAGGCCCAGUCCCCCAGUCCUGGUGGCUAAACUGAUCCCAGAUCAGCACCGUUUUUUGUUUAGUUUGUUUUUUUUAUGUUGAAAACAUGUAUCCAUUGUUGGCAAUCAGUCAGAAAAGACCUGUUUAAUAUGUUAUAUAUACAGCAUUGACUAUGGCUCUAUUUUUAAAUGAAGAACGUGUGUGUGUCCAAAGGUGAUGGAGAAUGAACUAUUAACUGGCAUUAUAAUGAUGUGGUCAAAUGUCUUGGGAAUCAUGGUUGGAUUAAAUACCAGAAUGAAUUAA